Long non-coding RNA from Dermochelys coriacea (leatherback sea turtle), 536 nucleotides. RefSeq lists it as uncharacterized. The transcript is spliced from 2 exons. The record is from RefSeq and is a predicted model, not a curated record. NCBI's taxonomy places the organism in Eukaryota, Metazoa, Chordata, Testudines, Dermochelyidae.
GGAAGUCGCAGAAGAGGUUCGUGGGGCCCUGGGCGAUGGGCCUGCGGCGGCUCCCCCCCCCCCGCGGUGGUGGUAGCUCCUCCUGCCUGGAGGAUGGCCCCACUGCAAGCCUCACUAUUGUGCUGAAAACUGGAAGGCUCCCAGCACAAAGAAGUGGAGCACGACUGGCACUAGGACCCAGGAAGUGGUGUUCAGCUAUAGAGUCAGUGGAGCUGAGACACGCAUCCUCCUUCAGCUGGGCAGCUCUGCGCUUGCAGAAAUGGGGGGCAGUGGCAGGUAACCCCGUGCUCCCUUCCAUGCCUCACCUCUCUUAGGAGGGGGGAGAUCCCCCCCAAGAAAACUGCAUCCAUGGUAGUCCACCCCUCCCGGGGCGCGGCUUACCUUUGCUUCCCUGCCAUUAAACGCAGGAAUUGUUCAGGGGGUACCGUUUUCUGCAGGCGCACAGUCAUGCAGAAUCCCUCAAUGAGUAACUUGAGCUCGUUAAAACCUCUCUCUAUUUGAUUAAAUAAACUUGUUUUACUUGUAUUCUAAAUCAA